UAUGCAGCGAAACUGCAAAUGGCUCAUUAUAUAAGUUAUCGUUUAUUUGAUAGUGCCUUACCACUUGGAUAACCGUGGUAAUUCUAGAGCUAAUACAUGCUGAAAACCCCGACUUCGGAAGGGACGUAUUUAUUAGAUUCAAAACCAAUGCCCUCCGGGCGCACUGGUGAUUCAGAAUAACUUUUCGAAUCGCACGGCCUUGCGCCGGCGAUGGUUCAAUCAAAUUUCUUCCCUAUCAACUUUCGAUGUUUGGGUAUUGGCCAAACAUGGUUGUAACGGGUAACGGAGGGUUAGGGCUCGACCCCGGAGAAGGAGCCUGAGAAACGGCUACUACAUCCAAGGAAGGCAGCAGGCGCGCAAAUUACCCAAUCCCGAUUCGGGGAGGUAGUGACAAUAAAUACUGAUACAGGGCUCUUUUGGGCCUUGUAAUUGGAAUGAGUACAAUUUAAAUCUCUUAACGAGGAACAAUUGGAGGGCAAGUCUGGUGCCAGCAGCCGCGGUAAUUCCAGCUCCCAUAGCGUAUAUUAAAGUUGUUGUGGUUAAAAAGCUCGUAGUUGAACCUUGGGCCUGGCUGGCCGGUCCGCCUCACCGCGUGCACUGGUCCGGCCGGGUCUUUCCUUCUGUGGAACCCCAUGCCCUUCACUGGGUGUGGCGGGGAAACAGGACCUUUACUUUGAAAAAAUUAGAGUGCUCCAGGCAGGCCUAUGCUCGAAUACAUUAGCAUGGAAUAAUGAAAUAGGACGCGUGGUUCUAUUUUGUUGGUUUCUAGGACCGCCGUAAUGGUUAAUAGGGACAGUCGGGGGCAUCAGUAUUCAAUUGUCAGAGGUGAAAUUCUUAGAUCAAUUGAAGACUAACUACUGCGAAAGCAUUUGCCAAGGAUGUUUUCAUUAAUCAGGAACGAAAGUUAGGGGAUCGAAGACGAUCAGAUACCGUCGUAGUCUUAACCAUAAACUAUGCCGACUAGGGAUCGGACGAUGUUAUUUUUUGACGCGUUCGGCACCUUACGAGAAAUCAAAGUGCUUGGGCUCCAGGGGGAGUAUGGUCGCAAGGCUGAACUUA
This 1059-nucleotide ribosomal RNA is filed under the name Beauveria diapheromeriphila. Its description in RNAcentral is "SSU rRNA". It matches the Rfam family "Eukaryotic small subunit ribosomal RNA", at positions 75 to 1146 of the family's 1831-position model. The record is from RNAcentral. Lineage: Eukaryota; Fungi; Ascomycota; Sordariomycetes; Hypocreales; Cordycipitaceae.